AACCUUCCGCAAUGGACGAAAGUCUGACGGAGCAACGCCGCGUGAGUGAAGAAGGNUUNNGGAUCNUNAAACUCUGUUGUUAGNNNNNAACAAGGAUGAGAGUAACUGCUCGUCCCUUGACGGUAUCUAACCAGAAAGCCAUGGCUAACUACGUGCCAGCAGCCGCGGUAAUACGUAGAUGGCAAGCGUUGUCCGGAUUUAUUGGGCGUAAAGCGAGCGCAGGCGGUUCUUUAAGUCUGAUGUGAAAGCCCCUGGCUCAACCAGGGAGGGUCAUUGGAAACUGGAGAACUUGAGUGCAGAAGAGGAAAGUGGAAUUCCAUGUGUAGCGGUGAAAUGCGUAGAUAUAUGGAGGAACACCAGUGGCGAAGGCGACUUUCUGGUCUGUAACUGACGCUGAGGCUCGAAAGCAUGGGGAGCAAAC
RNAcentral lists this ribosomal RNA (421 nucleotides) under uncultured bacterium. RNAcentral's name for it is "partial 16S ribosomal RNA". It matches the Rfam family "Bacterial small subunit ribosomal RNA", at positions 360 to 773 of the family's 1533-position model. The record is from RNAcentral.